AUCAACAGCACAGAUCACUUUUUCCCCAGUGCCAUUUGUGCUCUGCAGGCCCAGUGGGUGCCCCUACUAGAGCCUUGUACCCUGAGCCCAGUCCCUACCUGCCUUCUGGAAGAUGUUGGCUCCAGAAUUCUCUGCCUCCCUCCUGCAGGCAUUGUGGCAUUCACAGCUGAUUUGCAGAGAGCCCAGAUGCAUCUCAUAAAUAAGGAAUGUACUGUUCUGCAGGACGGCUGUGGCGUGGCUGUGUGGGGGUGGGCAGGCUGGAGUAGACAGGAACCACGAGAGGCAGGGAGGACUGUACAGGGGUUGCUGACCAGGUGGAAGAUGAUGGGAGCCUCAGAAGGUGUCGUGGGACAGGGUCAGGGAGAGGGCUCUAUGCGGCCAGGAUCUGGAUGCAGAUUGUUGAGACUGAAAUUUGGCUCAGAUCCCUUCUAGUUGUGUCUGUUUAUCUUCAGUUUCCUUGUCUAUAAAAUGGGGAGAGAUUGUGUGUCCCCGGCAUCACUGGACUGUUAAUAGCUAUUGCAUUUAUAGCAUUUAUCCCAGAACCUGAAACACAGUAAAUGCUCAGUAAGUGUUAUUAUUUGCCCCAAACUGUCUUAGUGCUUUCCCCAAGAGCUUUGUGUUGUUUGUACUAUGAGGAAUAAUGAGGGUGGUGUGGGAGUCGGCCUCUGUGUCUGCAGAGAGGACCACAGGCCACAGGAAUAGAGACAGGUAGAUAGGAUCAAGGUGACAGGAACAGAUGUUCAGAGCAAGAGAUGAAGACGGCAUCAUCAACCCAGACAAGCCAGUGCUUUCUGAGAAGCCCUCCAGAACCGCAGCAUUGGAAGCUUCAAGAUUUAGUCAUUCUUCUGGCAAACAUAUGUGGAAGGCCUCCGGGGUAGCACACCCUUCACCGUGCCCUGGAGAUGCUGGGAUGCGACAAAAAAGUAGGCUUCUCCCAUGAUGAACCUCACGGUUGGAGGCAUCUGUCCACCCAUGUGGUUCCAGACACGUUCAUGUGGCCACCAUGACCCCGUCGGCAUCACAGGGGUAACCAAGGUCCACAGAACGAGGGGAAAGGGUCACUGUGGAUCAAGCCAGGCUCCUCUGAGCAGUCCAGGGUCUAUUUACAGAGAGCAGCAAGUUCCUGGGACAGAGGAGACAGAAGGGAAUUUCCAGGUUCUUCAGGACGUUCACAACCACACUGAGAAGCAUCUUUGCAGAUAAGUAUUUAAACUUACCAGCCCAUAGCCUACCAGCCUGCCCUCUUCUGGUCUGUGCAGGAAAGUGUAGUAUCCUAGAAUGCCAAAGUGGGAGGGGAAAUGGGUGAUGUAGCUCAUUCUCUUUUCUACCUCUAUGGAAGAAAGAAAGAGCCUGUCCCCAUUUUGUGGGGUCCCAGAAAGGGUGAUUUUCACACUUCACAUUUGGCGUUAGGGCUAGUAUUUCACAAACAUUACCGUCUGGAACUUUUGAAGGCUGAGUUAAAUGACUUCAUCUUGUGUACUUGUAGAACUGCUAUUAGAAGGAGGCUGGGGACUCCCUGAUGAUGUGAACCAGCCCUUCUCUUCUCAGUUUCAGCACUUUGUGAUCAUAUUUAUAAACCUUGGACAGGGCUCCUUGGCCUUAGAGUUAAGUGAAGAGUUAACACUGUGACUUUAGAUGCAUUUUUCUCAGUGUAAGUGUCUGAGCUCAUCUCCAGUUCUGGACUCGUGCCCCCACUCCCGGGUGCUGACAGCAAGCUCUGAAGAUAUGCUGAGAGAGCUCCCUGACUCUCCUGACUCAGGUCUGCCAGUUGAUGAAGACAGCACAGUUGUUACCAAAAACAAAACCUGGCAGAUGGUCCUAGGUCAGGAUUAGUGGUCAUUCUCUGGUCUUCUCCAGACUGGUGACACAGGGUGGUCUUAAAAGAGUCCUAGUCCAGCCUCUGGCUCCCCGAAUUUCCUCUGGUGCAUGGGGCAUCAGGAAAGGGCAGGGGAGAAGGAGGGGGAGCAGAAAAAUAACUGAGGCUGGGCAGAAGGGUCCCUUCCAUUUCCCAUCCAUUGCUUCAAACAAUGGGUGAUUACCGUGCACCUUGAGUGAAUGUCAAGGCAGGAAGGGUUCCAGGGCCACCCAGUGUGGCAGGAGCAGAGCUGGGAUCAGAAUUCUGGAUUCCUGACUCUCCGUUCAGCUGCUAUUCAGCUAUCACCAAGCUGCUGAGUUUGUCCUACUUUCUCCUGGGUCACAUUCUGCUGUUGUUGGGAAACAGGGAGUGAGUGAAGGGAACCUGGGAACCCUUCUCCCCUCACCUUUUAAGGAUGUUCUGGGGUGGAAUAAAGAGAGGUGGAGGGUGGGGUGCCUGGGCCCAGCCUCCCUGGCUCCUGGUCCUUCUUUCUUCAGCAGGGAGUUCUGGCAAGGCCUGGGCCUGGGGAGGGGGCCUGGGUGCAGUUUUCUCCUGCGGUGUGGUUGGCUCUUUUGUCUUCCAGGAUGGGCCUGUGGGGUCUGUGUGGGGAAGGAAGGAGCUGGGAGCCUGGGCUGCCUGUGUGUCGGCUGGAUGCUGCCAGGUGGCUCCAUCUGGGCCGCAUCUCCAGGACUCCUGGCCUGGACUUCUCUUUGGACCUCGGGUGACCUUGGAUUCUGGCCACAGUGACUUAGCGGUCAGACUCCGGUGGUUUUCUAGCCCGCUGGGUGACUCCCUGAAGAUCUCAUCCUCUUCACACCUGUUGGGAUGGAGCCUCCCAUGGAUAGGAACUCUUCCUGGUUGAUGCUCAGCAGAUGACUGAUCUGGCUCUGGAGGACAGCUCCAGGGGUAUGAGGGAGGCCUGGCAGCCCACUACUCCCUCCUCACCUGCUCGGGCCCUGCCUGCUGGGCCCUAUUGUCUGGGUCUGGGGGCCCUUUCCUGCCCCAUGUGAACUUGAUUCCUCCUCGCGUUUCUGCCGGUGACCAGACAGAGCCUGGCCUGGGCCAAGUCCCCACUGACCACACUUUCCCCAAGGCUGGGUCUCAAAGGACCCUACAGGAUGGGGACAGGAACAAGGAUGGGAGUCGGGGAGGGGCUGUCAGGCAGAGGGCAGAUGCAGCUCCUCGGGUGCCGCUGGCUGGAGUCCUUUGUCUCCAUUUGCUCAGUGCGUAAUUGUCAUUUUGUGGGGGACUUCCUUGGUGGGGCUUUUCCAUGCUUUUCCUCUCCCUGAUGGUUACAAAGAGGAGACAGUCAGGAUCUGGGAGGAGCUGGAGCCUUCCCCCUGUGCUGUUGAACUCUGGGAGGGGCAGCCAGAGGGGCUGAGAGUGCACCAUCCUGAAAAGAGAGGGUCUUUAAGAGAUAAGAUUUAGGCUAGGGAAAUUCACUAGAAAGAGACAGGUGGCCCUGGGUUUUUUUUCCUGCCAUCCAAAGGGAACCAGUCUUACCCAAAGGCUUAAGGGGUCACCUUAGCCCAGUCUCAGGACACUCUUCUCCAAUCAGAUCGCUGCUUCUAGUUGCACUGCUCCUGGAUUCUGUUCUUGGGGAACAGAAGGUGGCAGGACAGGCCCCACAAUCUGCAAUUCCAGCUCCCUCCAGAGGAGACAGUCCCAGCGUUUGCAAGAGAGCAGCUUGUGGCCUCCCUUAGGCAAGUUUAAAAGCCAGAUGUCCUUUUUCCCAGAAUGCGGAGUGGUGUGUACUAUUCAUCAGCUUGGGCUGCCACAGCACCAUGCCAGACUGGAUGGCUUAAACAUCAGGAAUUUAUUUUCUGCCAGUUCUGGAGGCUGGAAAGUCCAGAUCAAGGUGUUAAGACUUGGUUUCUGGUGAGGCCUCUCUCCUUGGCUUGCAGGUGGCACCUUCUCACUAUGUCCUCACAUGGCCUUUUCUCUGUGGAGAGGGACAGAGAGCAUGAGCAGGCUCUGGUGUCUCCUCCUCUUCUUAUAAAGACACUAAUAUCACCAUAUUAGGGCUUAAACCUAUGACCUCAUUUAACCUUAACCCCUUAAAGGUCCCAUCUCCAAAAACAGUCACAUAGCAGGCUACUGCUUCAACAUAUGCAUUUGGGGGAGGGGACACCAUUCAGUUCUUAACAGGGUGGUCACCGCAAACAUGGAAAGUCAGAGCCUUCUCCCCUUCAGAAUUCCCGCCCCCACCCAGGGAUGGGGAGGAGGAGCAGAGAGGUAUGGGAAGCAGACACGGAGAGUGGCAGGUACCAUGCUGGGGUGGCUCAGGAGUGCUUCGGAGGACAUAUGGAACUGGCAGGGCUCAGUGCAGGGAGGCGGAGGCCCUGGGAGAGCCGUGUCCUGAGAAGGGCCUGGGCUACAACCCUGGGCAAGUUACUUCACCUCUGAGCCUCCGAUGCUCUGUGAAAUGGAAGGAAUGUGCUUGCCUGUCAGGUGCAGGGAGAAUUCAGUGAGAUUGUGUGCCUAGCACAGUGCCUGACUCCCAGUAGGUGCUCAGCAAAUGCUCCCAUCCAUCUGGGAGUAUAGACUUAGGGUUUAUCUAUUUUUUUUUUUUUUUGGCUCUCUGGACUUUAAAACUCAGCAUCUUCUGAACCAGAGGCAUUUCUGAUUAGCCCUUCCCUACCUAUUUUCCUAGUAUCACUCUUUAAUCAGCUUGGGGAGGUGGCAGCAUUUCAUGGCCUCCGUAGUAACUCACAAUGCUUCCUGGGGUAUUUAAAUUCUACUCUCUCAUCAGCACUGAGCACCUACUUUGGGCCCUUUCCCGUGCUAGCCAUUUGGGGGAAAUAUAGGUGAAGAGUGGCUGGGGUUUGAACCUUUAGGAUUUCACAGCCAUGCUGGAUGGGAUAAAACCAGCUCACAUGGAGAAUCAGAGAAUGGGACAGUGCCACAAAACAGUCUACUGAGGCACAAGUUCUGAGUGCCUGGGAAGUGGUAGAGAGACCCCAGAGAGGGCUGCUGCAGUCUGGAACAGCUUCCUAGCAAGCUGUACCAAACAGGGCCUUGAAGGAUGAGAAAGAUCUGGCUGAGAUGAUACCCGACCCUCUAGGGAAAUUCUUAAAGUAACUUCUAGGAAAUGUCAUUGCUCCUUAAAAAAAAAAAAAAAAAAAAAAAAGCAGGUUCUAAUUCAAAUUCCGCUGCACUACUGAAGUAGUGCAGGACUUAUCAGAACCUUUAAAAUGCUAAUGGCAAUUUCAAAUACUCAGGGACAGGGCAUAGGAUGAAGUGUUCCUUGACUUUUAUGGCCGUAGAAUCUUUUUCUCAUGGAACAUCGUUUAGAACUGUGGGAGAUGCUAGGCUGGGGUUUCUAUGGGAAAAGUACAGCAGUGAUAGAAGAUGGCAUAAUUAGGGUACACUUAGGUGCUUUGUAGCAUUGGCUGAAAAGGAAGCAGACCGGGUGGGCGUGGGGGAGUCUCAACUUGGUUCCAGGAGCCAGGCCAGCUUGAUGCGUUUUUUUUUUUUCUAAUGGUGGGAGGGCAGGCCAAUAGUUGGAGAAACUAGAGGCCUGACAGUCGGUGAUGGAAGAGAUGUCUACUAAGCACGGUUGUCAGAUCUUUUGCGGAGAGAUGCGGGUGUGCGUGUGUCUGUCAGAGUGUAACAGGAUCCAGCCCUCUGGGAAGGGGCUGACCAGAACCAGGCAGGGGGUUUCUGUCUAGGACAAGUAGGGUCCAUUUUCAGGGGAGCUGAAAUAUUUGCAGGGGGUGCUCUGAGACCCACAGCCAAUAAAUAGGGAAGCAACAUGCUUUUGGGCAGGGUCCAUGUGGUUAGGGUUGAUUUUGAUGGGGCUGGGGGGCUUAGAGUUAGACCCCCUGCCCUGGUCAGGCCCCACUCCCUGGCUGGUGGGGGCGGGAGGCCUCUGAAGCUGCAGCUGGAGGGGCCGGGGCAGUGUUGCAUGGUGUGAUUAACCUACUAACCCAGGGCUCAGCCGGGACGCUGUGGCGUGUGACGAGGUGCCUGGCCUUCUGCCAACCAACUAACCCACUAACCAGGCCCGAGCAUGCCCUACUAACCACCCCCCCGCAGCCAGAUCCUACUAACUGUGCAGCUCAUGGGCCUUUCAAGGGGCUGGGAUAUGGGGGCAGCCAAGGCUCCAGAAGGCUCUGCCUAUGGGCUGGGAUCUUUGUGCAGACCCACGUUCCAGGACAGAGAAUGCAAAUAAGACUCACCAACUCUGCCACUUCCUGUUGAGUGAGUUUGAGUAAGUCACCUCACUUCUCUCAACCUCAGUUUCCUCAGUGGUAGAAUGCGAGUUCUGAUACCUUACAGGUUGCAGUGAGGAUUCCCGUCAAUAUAAGGGUCUCAGCACAUGGCAGACACCUAAAAAAAAAAAAAGUAUGAGGAUGGAGGAAGGCCCCUCAAACCUGGUUGAACACGUCUGCUGCCUAGGCCCUGGCCUCUCUGGGUGUUCUGCACACAGAUCCUUCUGCCUGGGGCAAGACACUUGGCUUUGAAUCCAUGUCACUUCCCCACAUUCUUCCUCCGUCUCAGCUUUCUUUUCUGUAGGCAGCUCUUUUGUUCGAUUACUAACCCGUCUAACCCCUGGGGUGCCUCAACUGCACCCCGAUCAUCCCUUAACAAACUAACGGACCUGCGUGCGUUCUUCCUUUUCUCUUAGCGACUCCUGUGUGUGUCUGCUGAGGUGCCCUGUCCGCUGGUGCUGUGCUCUGACUUACUAACCCAGCCCCUACUAACCCUGUUUUCUCUUCUUACUAACCCCAGCCCUGCCGAGCUCUGGGCUCCCCCCGGGGGCUGGUCCCCCUCCUUUUGGCAAGCAGAUGACCUGGGGCUACUGGCCCUGUAGACAGAUGUCCCACUUUGCUGCCCCAUAUUGGCUGUAAGAUCAGAGUCCACUGGGCCAGGUCUAAGGCAGGGGAUGGCCCUAUUAACAAGACUCAGAGGAGGAAGAGGUGGUCCUGUGGAUGUGGGAGGCUGGACUCUGAGUAUGACAUCUCUCCUAUGUGCAGAAGUCUGGUUGCCACUGGGAGUAGGUGGGACCAGGGAAAUCUCUGGGACGUGAGUGUGGAGGCCUGUUGGUCUAGACUCUAGACUGUGGAGCUCUGAGCUUUUGUGUCCUCUGGAAGGAAGCUGGGGAAGAAUCCUCUCCAUUGUUAAGUGACGGGGAUAGAAGCUGUCCUGCACAGGAAGUCACGAGGGGGGCGUAUCCCACGAGGAAGGCAGGAGGGGGCGUGCCCCUCACCGGAAAUUAGCAGAGGGGCGUGUCCCACACCGGAAGUCAGAAAGCGGAGCCUUUCUUACACCGGAAGUCAAUGAAGCGGGUCUUUCCUACGCUAAAAACCACUGAGUGGAGUAUUUAGUACACAGGAAGUCGGC
This 7201-nucleotide long non-coding RNA is filed under the name Homo sapiens (human). Its description in RNAcentral is "HSALNT0405308". The stretch from base 5761 to 5909 matches the Rfam family "Myocardial infarction associated transcript exon 5 conserved region 1". The record is from RNAcentral. Lineage: Eukaryota; Metazoa; Chordata; Mammalia; Primates; Hominidae.